GGACGGGUGAGUAAUGUCUGGGAAACUGCCUGAUGGAGGGGGAUAACUACUGGAAACGGUGGCUAAUACCGCAUAACGUCGCAAGACCAAAGAGGGGGACCUUCGGGCCUCUUGCCAUCAGAUGUGCCCAGAUGGGAUUAGCUUGUUGGUGAGGUAACGGCUCACCAAGGCGACGAUCCCUAGCUGGUCUGAGAGGAUGACCAGCCACACUGGAACUGAGACACGGUCCAGACUCCUACGGGAGGCAGCAGUGGGGAAUAUUGCACAAUGGGCGCAAGCCUGAUGCAGCCAUGCCGCGUGUAUGAAGAAGGCCUUCGGGUUGUAAAGUACUUUCAGCGGGGAGGAAGGUGUUGUGGUUAAUAACCGCAGCAAUUGACGUUACCCGCAGAAGAAGCACCGGCUAACUCCGUGCCAGCAGCCGCGGUAAUACGGAGGGUGCAAGCGUUAAUCGGAAUUACUGGGCGU
This 465-nucleotide ribosomal RNA is filed under the name Salmonella enterica subsp. enterica serovar Typhi. RNAcentral describes it as "bacterial SSU rRNA". It matches the Rfam family "Bacterial small subunit ribosomal RNA", at positions 100 to 561 of the family's 1533-position model. Lineage: Bacteria; Pseudomonadati; Pseudomonadota; Gammaproteobacteria; Enterobacterales; Enterobacteriaceae. The record is from RNAcentral.